ACAACAUUGGGACCGUCGGUCUACCGAGCAAUAUCGUCCGCUCGGUGGAAGAUCUUCCCUUUGUCAU
RNAcentral lists this microRNA precursor (67 nucleotides) under Bombyx mori (domestic silkworm). Its description in RNAcentral is "mir-2774 microRNA precursor family". It matches the Rfam family "mir-2774 microRNA precursor family". The record is from Rfam by way of RNAcentral. Lineage: Eukaryota; Metazoa; Arthropoda; Insecta; Lepidoptera; Bombycidae.